UACCAUACGAAUAAGCACCGGCUAACUCCGUGCCAGCGGCCGCGGUAAUACGGAGGGUGCAAGCGUUAUCCGGAUUUAUUGGGUUUAAAGGGUCCGUAGGCGGAUUAAUAAGUCAGUGGUGAAAUCCUACAGCUUAACUGUAGAACUGCCAUUGAUACUGUUAGUCUUGAAUAGUAUUGAAGUAGCUGGAAUGUGUAGUGUAGCGGUGAAAUGCAUAGAUAUUACACAGAACACCAAUUGCGAAGGCAGGUUACUAAAUACUUAUUGACGCUGAUGGACGAAAGCGUGGGGAGCGAACAGGAUUAGAUACCCUGGUAGUCCACGCCGUAAACGAUGGACACUCGUUGUUGGGUUUUCGGACUCAGUGACUAAGCGAAAGUAAUAAGUAUCCCACCUGGGGAGUACGUUCGCAAGGAUGAAACU
This 423-nucleotide ribosomal RNA is filed under the name uncultured Bacteroidota bacterium. RNAcentral describes it as "bacterial SSU rRNA". It matches the Rfam family "Bacterial small subunit ribosomal RNA", at positions 476 to 901 of the family's 1533-position model. The record is from RNAcentral. Lineage: Bacteria; Pseudomonadati; Bacteroidota.